This 224-nucleotide long non-coding RNA is filed under the name Elaeis guineensis (African oil palm). RNAcentral describes it as "long non-coding RNA (EGUI_LNC047321)". Lineage: Eukaryota; Viridiplantae; Streptophyta; Magnoliopsida; Arecales; Arecaceae. The record is from RNAcentral.
CCACUAACUUCAUCAAGUCAGAUUAAAGAAAAUCAGGUAUAAACUGAUCCCGCUAAUCAGUCAUAAAUCCUUUUACUGACUUCAUCAAGUCAUAAAGAGGACUCAAGACAAGUUGAACUAAGGGCACCUAAAUCAGUCAUACUGAUUUUCUAGUUAGCAUAGGUCAAUUCCAAUCAUUAAGUAAUCUAAUCAAAAUAUGAUUCAUCAUGUUGGUCAGAUAAGUG